RNAcentral lists this ribosomal RNA (497 nucleotides) under uncultured bacterium. RNAcentral's name for it is "partial 16S ribosomal RNA". It matches the Rfam family "Bacterial small subunit ribosomal RNA", at positions 28 to 507 of the family's 1533-position model. The record is from RNAcentral.
GAUGAACGCUGGCGGCGUGCCUAAUACAUGCAAGUCGAGCGAACGGACGAGAAGCUUGCUUCUCUGAUGUUAGCGGCGGACGGGUGAGUAACACGUGGAUAACCUACCUAUAAGACUGGGAUAACUUCGGGAAACCGGAGCUAAUACCGGAUGAUAUUUUGAACCGCAUGGUUCAAAAGUGAAAGACGGUCUUGCUGUCACUUAUAGAUGGAUCCGCGCUGCAUUAGCUAGUUGGUAAGGUAACGGCUUACCAAGGCAACGAUGCAUAGCCGACCUGAGAGGGUGAUCGGCCACACUGGAACUGAGACACGGUCCAGACUCCUACGGGAGGCAGCAGUAGGGAAUCUUCCGCAAUGGGAGAAAGCCUGACGGAGCAACGCCGCGUGAGUGAUGAAGGUCUUCGGAUCGUAAAACUCUGUUAUUAGGGAAGAACAUAUGUGUAAGUAACUGUGCACAUCUUGACGGUACCUAAUCAGAAGGCCACGGCUAACUACGUG